UAGGGAAUAUUGGACAAUGGGGGCAACCCUGAUCCAGCCAUGCCGCGUGAGUGAAGAAGGCCCUCGGGUUGUAAAGCUCUUUUGUCCGGAAAGAAAAGCAUUCGGUGAAUACCCGGAUGUUCUGACGGUACCGGAGGAAUAAGCACCGGCUAACUUCGUGCCAGCAGCCGCGGUAAUACGAAGGGUGCAAGCGUUACUCGGAAUUACUGGGCGUAAAGCGUGCGCAGGUGGUUGUUUAAGUCUGAUGUGAAAGCCCUGGGCUCAACCUGGGAAUGGCAUUGGAAACUGGGCAGCUAGAGUGCGGUAGAGGGUAGUGGAAUUCCCGGUGUAGCAGUGAAAUGCGUAGAGAUCGGGAGGAACAUCUGUGGCGAAGGCGACUGCCUGGACCAGCACUGACACUGAGGCACGAAAGCGUGGGGAGCAAACA
This 427-nucleotide ribosomal RNA is filed under the name uncultured bacterium. Its description in RNAcentral is "bacterial SSU rRNA". It matches the Rfam family "Bacterial small subunit ribosomal RNA", at positions 355 to 774 of the family's 1533-position model. The record is from RNAcentral.